AUAUUUGCAAAAAUUUCAGGUUCGGCAUUGUCCGAUGAAAAGGGAAUCUGGUGUAAUACCAGAGCUGUCCCCGCAACUGUAGAUCACUGAAGUAUUUCUGUACAAAGCCACUGUAAUUACGGGAAGGCACAGAAAUGUGAAAGCCAGGAGACCUGCCUGAAACUAUAAUUAUUAA
RNAcentral lists this non-coding RNA (175 nucleotides) under Elizabethkingia anophelis. Lineage: Bacteria; Pseudomonadati; Bacteroidota; Flavobacteriia; Flavobacteriales; Weeksellaceae. The record is from RNAcentral.